This is a non-coding RNA of Otolemur garnettii (small-eared galago), 102 nucleotides long. Lineage: Eukaryota; Metazoa; Chordata; Mammalia; Primates; Galagidae. The record is from Rfam.
GUACUCACUUUUUAGAAGCACAUAUACUAAAAUGGGAACAAUAUAGAGAAGAUUUGUAUGGUCCUUGCACAGAGAUAACAUGAAAAUAUUUUUUCUUUUUUU